Molecule: non-coding RNA, 89 nt
Organism: Lojkania enalia
Lineage: Eukaryota; Fungi; Ascomycota; Dothideomycetes; Pleosporales
Source: the annotation of a GenBank genome assembly
UCUUCCUUGGUCUAGUGGUCAUGAUUUCCGCUUGUCAAAGACUUGUCUAACGAGCGCGGGAGACCGGGGUUCGAUUCCCCGAGGGAGAG